AGAUUCGAACCUGCAGCAGGUUCGGGUCGAACGCAGUGAGACAACGGAGCCGCUCGCGGCGACGGCCCGAAGGGCGAGCGAAGCGAGUCAUCCUGCACGACCCACCA
RNAcentral lists this small RNA (107 nucleotides) under uncultured Phytobacter sp. RNAcentral's name for it is "RtT RNA". It matches the Rfam family "RtT RNA", at positions 20 to 130 of the family's 130-position model. From Rfam's summary of the family: This family represents a bacterial cis-regulatory element known as RtT RNA. The exact function of RtT is unknown although it is thought that it may be involved in changing the cellular response in relation to amino acid starvation. Lineage: Bacteria; Pseudomonadati; Pseudomonadota; Gammaproteobacteria; Enterobacterales; Enterobacteriaceae. The record is from RNAcentral.